CUCCCAGAGAUGGGACUGACAUCCUUCAAAGCUCCAUGGAAACAAGCUAUGGCCCAGUGAUUGAGAUAGUUUCUCAAAACUUGAACAUCAGUCCCUCGGCAUAUCAAAGGAAGGGCUGGUAUUUCCCCAGUUGUGAACACAGCACUGCAGAAGUUAAUUAGAAAACAUACUGUAUCCCAGGGGCUAUGCUGAAUUCCUUAUAUAGUCGGUCCUCCCUAUCUGAGAUGGAUCUUUAAACUCUACAGCCUGGCACAAUUAUCUGAAGGAGAAAAAGAAUGAUCUAACCUGUGAGGACAUAGUAAAUAAUUAUUUAAAUGCUUGGGGAAUAUUAAAAAACAUUUCAAGGUGAUCAUGAGAUCACUGUCAGUUAACAAGGAAUAAUGACAAGGGGGAAAGCAAUAUAUUGAUUAACAUAUGACAAAUGGA
Long non-coding RNA from Gorilla gorilla gorilla (western lowland gorilla), 426 nucleotides. RefSeq lists it as uncharacterized. NCBI's taxonomy places the organism in Eukaryota, Metazoa, Chordata, Mammalia, Primates, Hominidae. The transcript is spliced from 3 exons. The record is from RefSeq and is a predicted model, not a curated record.